GGUGCACGUCGGAUUCAGGCGCACCGGAUGAAGGUGAAUGUGGCAAGGCAGCCCGGGCGGUCGGAAGGACUGCGCCCGGGUUUAUCCCGGAAAGAGCUGCACCCCGCGGGGCCCAGCGCCAUCCGCAGCCGGGACAGGCGCGAGCACUUGGCCCCGCGGCUGCCCCGCACAGGCACUCACAGGGGAGAAUCCGCCCGACAGCUGGUGACGUCACGGCUCUCCAGGACGCAGUUGGCUGCUCCGACUUGACCGCUGUCGAGGGGAGCAUCCAGUGUGAGACCGGAAGCCCCGAGUGUUGCCCCUUCUCCUCCUGCGCACCCGCUUCGCCCUCGCCACUGGGAAACUCCAGUCUGCCGGUAUUGUGCUCUCAAGAAUACUGUGGGCCAUGGCGUGGGGGCGCACGCCUGCAAUCCCAACACUUUGGGAGGCCAGGGCAGGAGGAUCACUUGAGCCCAGGAGGUCGAGGCUGCAGUGAGCCAUGAUCACACCACUGCACUCCAGCCUGAGUGACAGAACAAGACCCUGUCUCAAGAACAACAACAAAAACAUUGUGGACUCCCCAGCUCAAGACACAGCCCCCCAACAAACACACAUCCCCCAGGCUCUCCAGACCUGCUUUGUCCCCUAGUACAGAAGAAGCCAAGCUUGAGGGCACCCCUAGGACUGCGGGCACUUGAACAUUCUCGUAGGUGAUUUCCUCAUCAUCAUCAGCCCCUGGGUCUAGAGAGAAGAGAAAAGGGACCAAGGUGGGAUUUGGGAAUGGGAUCUGUGGGGCGGGAAGUGGGGAUGCAGGAUCAAGGGGAGGCCUCAUCCCCCUUACCCUGUCCUAACCGGCUGGAGAUGCUCUUCUUCAGGGGAGCCUUCACAAACCUCAGAUCUGCAUAGGUGAUGGCCUCAGCCAUGGUCCUGAGCAGCUCUGCCCCCACUCGUCUUCCCUGUCAUCCACUGUCCUCCCUUGCCCCUCUCGUCUCUGUCCGUUUACAACUAGGCUCUGUGUUCCCUCUGUGACUGCAUGGCUUAGCAAUUGGCCCUGUGACUUCCAGUCACAAAAGAGGAAGGUGUUAGCAAGUCUCAAACAGAUGGGCUCAAUGAAGCAGAAGGCAUCCCUGGGCCAGGGCCAGAGGGGCCACGGAGGGGACGCUGAGGUCCAGAACACAGGGGUAGGGGAUGGGCCUGUCCCCAUGUCCUCCCUGUGCUUCCUCUCCAUGCAUCUUAAACCCAUAUGGGCCAUGCUGGGCCCCAAACUCGGUCCUUCUGAUUAUCUGCCCUGAUCUGCCCCACCCUCCUCCUGGCUGCCUUGUCCACUGGGGCUUAUGAUGUGUAGCUGGAGCUGCACUGACCCAGACGAUCUCCCCAGCUCCAGGGUGAGGCUCCAUUCUCCCCAUGAGACUGGGGGUUCCUGGUUUGCAUCCCUUGCUUCUCAUCAUCCUGGGGUUUCCAGUAACUGGGGGUUCCAGUAACUGGGGGUUCAGGAACAGGCCUGGGCCAGAGGUGAAGGUAAGGAACAGCCAUGGCUGCAGCACCUCUGGAAAGGCAAGUGGCAGCACUGCCCCCCAUGCACCCUCAUGGGGAGCCAGGGAGCAGGUGAGCAAGGGAGUUGCAGAGGGCUUAAGAAGGGCUGCAGCUUCCUAGGUGAAGUCAAGGCAGAGGAGCAGAACAGAGCCAGAGGCCAAGCACAGAUUCUGGACCAGCAGAGGUUUUGACAUUUUCUUGGUUUGGUUUUGGUUCUUCUCUUACUUUCCUAGCAAAGUUCUUUCUUUAAAAAGUCCCAAAGCUGUCCCUUCACACCCAGCCCCAAGGAAAAAGGGGGCAUUUGUGGCGGAGGACCCAGGGACUGUGAGGCCCUCAUAGGUGGUGGGGGCCUGGCUGAUGGAGGAGAGAGGGAACCACUUGGGGGAAAGGGGGCUGCUGAGCAGGGGUGCCCAAAGGUGCUCCCUAAUGUUCUUUUACCGGGAUGUGACCCCUACUAGGAACCCCAAAAUGGCCUACAUCCAGGAUAGGAAGGCGCUAGAACAAGAUGUAGUGUGGGGGUGGGAAGAACCCGCCCCUAGCAAAGUGACAUCCGCCCCGCAGAAUCCCCCUCCUGCAGCUGUGGGGAGGAAAAAGGAAGGGGGAAAAGGUCCUCACCACAUGCCAACAGCUCGGAUGAUUGGUGAUGUGUGGCAGGACACUGCCAGGGACCCUAGAGCUCUGCCAAUAGCUCCGCCCAGCCAGCCCUAGAGGAAGUGGCCACUGAGGCAAAGCUGUGACCUCAAAAAUGUACUUGUAGAGAGGCACGUGUGCAUGUGUGUGCAUGGAUAUGCAUGUUCCCAGGACUUUGCAGUCUGUUAGGGCAUCUGUGAGGUGAGCGGCUAUGUCAGAGCCUGCCUGGAGGAGGAAGCCUUCUGUGGGCUGAAGGCUGCCUGUGAUCACUGUUAUUUUCCAUGGCAGAGAAUGACGGGUCAUUUUCAGAAAAGUCGUCAAAGGUCAUCACAAGAGAUCCUACAAGUAUUUCCUUUUUGAAGCUCACUGUUUCCUAAGGUGCCUCUGCAGCUGUUAACUGUCCUUGCUUGAUUAAAGUUUCCAACAACCUAGACCUUCCCCCA
Molecule: long non-coding RNA, 2585 nt
Organism: Pan troglodytes (chimpanzee)
Lineage: Eukaryota; Metazoa; Chordata; Mammalia; Primates; Hominidae
Exons: 2
Source: RefSeq, a predicted model, not a curated record